RNAcentral lists this transfer RNA (91 nucleotides) under Saprospiraceae bacterium. RNAcentral's name for it is "tRNA-Ser". It matches the Rfam family "tRNA". Rfam says of the family: Transfer RNA (tRNA) molecules are approximately 80 nucleotides in length. Their secondary structure includes four short double-helical elements and three loops (D, anti-codon, and T loops). Further hydrogen bonds mediate the characteristic L-shaped molecular structure. tRNAs have two regions of fundamental functional importance: the anti-codon, which is responsible for specific mRNA codon recognition, and the 3' end, to which the tRNAs corresponding amino acid is attached (by aminoacyl-tRNA synthetases). tRNAs cope with the degeneracy of the genetic code in two manners: having more than one tRNA (with a specific anti-codon) for a particular amino acid; and 'wobble' base-pairing, i.e. permitting non-standard base-pairing at the 3rd anti-codon position. The record is from RNAcentral. Lineage: Bacteria; Pseudomonadati; Bacteroidota; Saprospiria; Saprospirales; Saprospiraceae.
GGAGAGGUGUCCGAGUGGUCGAAGGAGCACGCCUGGAAAGUGUGUAGGCUCCAAAAGGGUCUCGUGGGUUCGAAUCCCUAACUCUCCGCCA